Molecule: ribosomal RNA, 461 nt
Filed under: uncultured Bacteroidota bacterium
Lineage: Bacteria; Pseudomonadati; Bacteroidota
Description: bacterial SSU rRNA
Rfam family: Bacterial small subunit ribosomal RNA
Source: RNAcentral
CCUACGGGGGGCUGCAGUAAGGAAUAUUGGUCAAUGGGCGCAAGCCUGAACCAGCCAUGCCGCGUGCAGGAUGACGGCCCUAUGGGUUGUAAACUGCUUUUAUACGGGAAAAAACCCUCGAUCGUGAAUCGGGGCUGAUGGUACCGUAAGAAUAAGGAUCGGCUAACUCCGUGCCAGCAGCCGCGGUAAUACGGAGGAUCCAAGCGUUAUCCGGAUUUAUUGGGUUUAAAGGGUGCGCAGGCGGAAUAAUAAGUCAGUGGUGAAAUCCUGCAGCUUAACUGCAGAACUGCCAUUGAUACUGUUAUUCUUGAGUAUAUUUGAAGUGGGCGGAAUGUGUCAUGUAGCGGUGAAAUGCUUAGAUAUGACACAGAACACCAAUUGCGAAGGCAGCUCACUAAACUAUAACUGACGCUCAUGCACGAAAGCGUGGGGAUCAAACAGGAUUAGAUACCCCGGUAGUC